AUGGGAACGCGAAGAACCUUACCUAGACUUGACAUCUCCUGAAUAGUGUAGAGAUACAUGAAGCCCUUCGGGGCAGGAAGACAGGUGGUGCAUGGUUGUCGUCAGCUCGUGUCGUGAGAUGUUGGGUUAAGUCCCGCAACGAGCGCAACCCUUAUUACUAGUUGCUACCAUUAAGUUGAGCACUCUAGUGAGACUGCCCGGGUUAACCGGGAGGAAGGCGGGGAUGACGUCAAAUCAUCAUGCCCCUUAUGUCUAGGGCAACACACGUGCUACAAUGGUGAGUACAGAUAGAUGCGAUACCGCAAGGUGGAGCCAAACUCUAAAACUCAUCCCAGUUCGGAUUGUAGGCUGCAACUCGUCUACAUGAAGUUGGAGUUGCUAGUAAUCGCGAAUCAGAAUGUCGCGGUGAAUACGUUCCCGGGUCUGUACACACCG
This 435-nucleotide ribosomal RNA is filed under the name uncultured bacterium. RNAcentral describes it as "bacterial SSU rRNA". It matches the Rfam family "Bacterial small subunit ribosomal RNA", at positions 954 to 1392 of the family's 1533-position model. The record is from RNAcentral.